GACAAGGGAUGACAAUUUUGCUCUGCCCCGCCCCUCCCUGCUUCGCCCCACGUGGGAUUCCCUACCCCACAAAGGUUGGGAGGAGGGGGGGGGGGGGGGGGGGCAAGGAUGUGACGAGAUUUUAGCUCCGCGCCAUGGGGCAAGACAAGGAUGGGUUUAGACUUUUUAGACUCAACCCGCCUUGCUCCGCAUUGAUAAGGGUUAAAUUGUUUUAUUAAAAAAAAUUAUAAUAGUUGUGGGCAAAUUAACAAGAAGUAGAGUUUUAUGAGGUGGGGCGGGGAUUCAUAGGGUCCCAAGGGGCGAAGAUGGGGCAAGAAAAUUUUCUUCGUCAUGCAAGGCAAGGCAAGGAAAGGGUAAGACAAAAUCUUGCGAGGCAGAGGCGAAGACCCCAUCCUGCAGACCCGCCCUGUCCCAUUGCCAUCCCUGACCAAGACAUCUACACUUCAAGCAGCAUCAAAGAAGAUUCAAAAGCACUCUAAAGUACAGAAGCUCUACAGGAAUCAAGCCUCAAAGUUUUCAAGAACCUUAAGAACUUCAAUCUGAAAUAUGAAGAACAUUUGAAGUAGAAUCAUCCAAAUUACCUACCUAGAUCUUAAAGUUUGCUGGAAUCAAGCCCAAAAACCUUCAGAAACUUCAAGAAACCACAAAUUAGCGAAAUUCUACGAAUUCAAACCCCAAAAAUCUCCAAAGAACUUCCACCAUAAACUUUCAAAGACAGAGAACAUGAAGAACAAAGAAUUUCUAACAAGCUUAUAGCCAGAGAUUCGUUGUAAUUCUAUUUCAAGGGUCUUCAAUCCAUCCUUCAGCCAAAUCAAAAGAUAUAUUGUGUUGGAGUCAAAAUCACAACCACAAUUCCAAUCAAUAAGUCUUUCAAGGAGGUUGAGUAAGAGGAUCACUCUUUUAUAAUUUCAGAGAAUUGUACCACACAUUGAUCAAUACAAAUUCAUAUUUGUGAAUCUA
Quercus robur (English oak) is the source of this 960-nucleotide long non-coding RNA. RefSeq lists it as uncharacterized. Lineage: Eukaryota; Viridiplantae; Streptophyta; Magnoliopsida; Fagales; Fagaceae. The record is from RefSeq and is a predicted model, not a curated record. The transcript has 2 exons.